AGAAAAGAAGAUUAAAUAAUAUCUAAUUAUUAUAUCUAAACUCAUAGUAUAUUGUGUAAUUGCUUAGUUGUUCGUAUCUAAGCACAUGUAGAUAUUUAAGAAUAUUUGAAUGCUAAUGUUCAUGUUAGUAUGCUUUAUUUCUUAUAAAUGGUAUGGUUAUGUGUUAUGUUUGACAUGGUUAAUUAAUGCAUGUCUUGAUAAGUAUUUAAGUGAGUGGGAGUUCUAAAAUUAUUAGAACUUUAACUUUGCCAAAUGCAUACUACAUUAAUGAUGCCUUGACAUUUGAAUAUGGA
Molecule: long non-coding RNA, 293 nt
Filed under: Elaeis guineensis (African oil palm)
Lineage: Eukaryota; Viridiplantae; Streptophyta; Magnoliopsida; Arecales; Arecaceae
Description: long non-coding RNA (EGUI_LNC048821)
Source: RNAcentral